Molecule: long non-coding RNA, 1468 nt
Filed under: Felis catus (domestic cat)
Lineage: Eukaryota; Metazoa; Chordata; Mammalia; Carnivora; Felidae
Description: lncRNA (ENSFCAG00000047071.1)
Source: RNAcentral
CAAGAUUCUUUAGAUUCCUAUCAUUCUAAAACAGAAUCUGCAUUGUCUACAGAAGGUAGUGUGGGAGGCCUGCAUUAAAUGACAGCAAUCCAUGCCCCCCCCCCCCGCCCCUGCCCCGGGAACCACCAACAGUCCUCUCUCUUUCCUUCAGUGGCAACGGGAGUGUCAUCAUAGCCUCUAUGAGAUGAUGCCUCACGUAAAAUGCUCAUAGACAGGUUUUUUCCUGCUGCACCCUCCGGGGGUUGGGAGCAUUAUCAUUGCUCAGGAAUAUUUACCCAGGUCAUAAAUAUGGAGACCUGCUAUGCUCAAAGAUGCCCAAUUGUGGACAUCAAUCUGUGGAGAGGUAAAACUGAGGAUGAGAAGGAUCAACAAAGUUCUGUACAACCCGUUUAUGCAGUCACACAACAUUUGUUCACCCUUCUACAUACCCUUCUGGGUUUCAUGCUAAAGAAGAUUCAAGGAACUUGAAGUAACUAGUUCAUCUCAGAUUCCCUUUUCGUCUCUUUGUGUCAUCAUCCUUCUUCUGCAGACCCCACUACUUCUGUCUCAGCCUUUCAUAUUUGAAGGGGGCCUCUGGGCAAAGAACCGCAUCUCAUCUGCAGAAUGAGGAGGGCUAAAGCGCCUCCCAGCCCUCCUGGAUCGCAUAGCAGUUCAGCUGAAUUUUCUUUGCCAGCGAAUUGUCUUGUUUACUUUCCUCACCCCCUGGGAACCCACUGGCCUCAGGAUCUCUUCAAUCAAUACUUUAAAUGGCCCCUUUCCUGAAAGACGAACAAUGAGAUUUUAACUCUAUGUCUCGCUGUCCUUCGUUCUCUCCUUCCUUUUUCCUACCAGCUUUCAUUUCUGUAAGUCCAACAAAUGAUGAGUUUAUGAGUUUCUAAUAUUAGCCCUUAGGCUGCCUGACCUAUUAACCCUUUCACAGCUGGCUUCCCUCUGCACCUGCUAGACCAUUAUAGUUCUAAACUCCAUGGAAACCAAAAGAUUCUUAAAGCAAGCUUAGUAAAGGCCAGUUUCCAUUCUCCUAGAAAUGCAAGUUCAUGGCGGGUGAUGUGUCUAAUGGGGUUAGCUGGGCCUAGUUAAAUUCUCUACUGGACCUCUCAGGUAUAACCACAUGACUUCCCAGUUACUAAAUAUUUCCAUGUACGUCAUCAUGCACAUAUAGUUCCAGAUGCAAAGUUAAAGUUAUGACCAGACAAACACAGAAACACCUGCGCAUAGUUUUCUAAAGCACCUUCAAGAUGACAGGUAUUGUGUAUGCUCAUCUGCCGCUAUUAUUAGAAGCACUUCAUACUGACUAAGCUGGUAUUGAGGAUGAAGUGGAUUAAGACUUACAGAGCCGAAUGGUAAACACAUGACACAGGGCUUUGGGGGCAGGCUCCAUGGUGUGCAGUUUUGUUCAGCACCAUACCUCAAAUGCUCAGUAGCGAAGCCUGCAUUCAGGGCACUUUCUAAGCAGCAGAGAGGCAAUUCA